This 253-nucleotide ribosomal RNA is filed under the name uncultured bacterium. Its description in RNAcentral is "partial 16S ribosomal RNA". It matches the Rfam family "Bacterial small subunit ribosomal RNA", at positions 524 to 776 of the family's 1533-position model. The record is from RNAcentral.
UACGUAGGGGGCAAGCGUUAUCCGGAUUUACUGGGUGUAAAGGGAGCGUAGACGGCAUAGCAAGUCUGAAGUGAGAGCCCGUGGCUCAACCACGGAACUGCUUUGGAAACUGUUAAGCUGGAGUACUGGAGAGGCAAGCGGAAUUCCUAGUGUAGCGGUGAAAUGCGUAGAUAUUAGGAGGAACACCAGUGGCGAAGGCGGCUUGCUGGACAGAGACUGACGUUGAGGCUCGAAAGCGUGGGGAGCAAACAGG